GCAGGCGCGAAACCUUUACACUGCACGACAGUGCGAUAGGGGGAUCCCAAGUGCACAGGCAUAGCGCCUGUGCUUUUCGGUACCCUAAGGCGGUACCAGAAUAAGGGCUGGGCAAGACCGGUGCCAGCCGCCGCGGUAAUACCGGCAGCCCAAGUGAUGGCCGAUCUUAUUGGGCCUAAAGCGUCCGUAGCUGGCCGUACAAGUCCAUCGGGAAAUCCACCUGCCAAMCAGGUGGGCGCCCGGUAGAAACUGUGCGGYUUGGGACCGGAAGGCGCGACGGGUACGUYCGGGGUAGGAGUGAAAUUCCGUAAUCCUGGACGGACCGCCGAUGGCGAAAGCACGUCGCGAGAACGGAUCCGACAGUGAGGGACGAAAGCCAGGGUCUCGAACCGGAUUAGAUACCCGGGUAGUCCUGGCCGUAAACAAUGUCUGCUAGGUGUGGCUCCCACUACGAGUGGGUGCUGUGCCGUAGGGAAGCCGCUAAGCAGACCGCCCGGGAAGUACGUCCGCAAGGAUGAAACUUAAAGGAAUUGGCGGGGGAGCACUACAACCGGAGGAGCCUGCGGUUUAAUUGGAGUCAACGCCGG
RNAcentral lists this ribosomal RNA (587 nucleotides) under uncultured haloarchaeon. RNAcentral describes it as "bacterial SSU rRNA". It matches the Rfam family "Archaeal small subunit ribosomal RNA", at positions 335 to 921 of the family's 1478-position model. Lineage: Archaea; Methanobacteriati; Methanobacteriota; Halobacteria; Halobacteriales; Halobacteriaceae. The record is from RNAcentral.